Molecule: ribosomal RNA, 502 nt
Filed under: uncultured bacterium
Lineage: Bacteria
Description: partial 16S ribosomal RNA
Rfam family: Bacterial small subunit ribosomal RNA
Source: RNAcentral
AUUGAACGCUGGCGGCGUGCCUAAUACAUGCAAGUCGAACGGGGAAAGUAGCAAUACGAGUACUAGUGGCGCACGGGUGAGGAACACGUGGGUAAUCUGCCUUCGAGCGGGGGAUAACUAGUCGAAAGAUUAGCUAAUACCGCAUAAGACCACAAUGUCUGCGGACAAAGGGGUCAAAGUCGCAAGACACUUGAAGAUGAGCCCGCGUAAGAUUAGCUAGUUGGUGAGGUAAUGGCUCACCAAGGCGAUGAUCUUUAGCUGGUCUGAGAGGAUGAUCAGACACACUGGAACUGAGACACGGUCCAGACUCCUACGGGAGGCAGCAGUGGGGAAUAUUGCACAAUGGGGGAAACCCUGAUGCAGCCAUGCCGCGUGUGUGAAGAAGGCCUUCGGGUUGUAAAGCACUUUCAGCGAGGAGGAAAGGUUGGUUGCUAAUAACUGCCAGCUGUGACGUUACUCGCAGAAGAAGCACCGGCUAACUCCGUGCCAGCCGCCGCGGUAA